CAGCAGCCGCGGGAAUACGAAGGGGGCUAGCGUUGCUCGGAAUGACUGGGCGUAAAGGGCGCGUAGGCGGCGGCCAAAGUCAGGCGUGAAAUUCCCGGGCUCAACCUGGGGGCUGCGUUUGAUACUUGGUUGCUUGAGUGGGGAAGAGGGUCGUGGAAUUCCCAGUGUAGAGGUGAAAUUCGUAGAUAUUGGGAAGAACACCGGUGGCGAAGGCGGCGACCUGGUCCUUGACUGACGCUGAGGCGCGAAAGCGUGGGGAGCAAACAGGAUUAGAUACCCCAGUAGUCCCUGUCUCUUAUAC
RNAcentral lists this ribosomal RNA (301 nucleotides) under uncultured bacterium. Its description in RNAcentral is "partial 16S ribosomal RNA". It matches the Rfam family "Bacterial small subunit ribosomal RNA", at positions 509 to 807 of the family's 1533-position model. The record is from RNAcentral.